AGCAAGUCCGUUCUGACCGGGAU
This 23-nucleotide microRNA is filed under the name Cordylochernes scorpioides. The record is from RNAcentral. Lineage: Eukaryota; Metazoa; Arthropoda; Arachnida; Pseudoscorpiones; Chernetidae.